UACUAGAGUAGCACUCGCAUAUCAAUAAGCGGAGGAAAAGAAACUAACAAGGAUUCCCCUAGUAACGGCGAGUGAAGCGGGAAGAGCUCAAAUUUGAAAUCUUAAAGGGUUUCCCUUUACGAAUUGUAGUUUAAAGAAGUGUUUUCUGUUGAGGUUUUGGUAAAAGUUCUUUGGAAUAGGACAUCAUAGAGGGUGAGAAUCCCGUAUUUGACCUUUACUUUCAACUUUGUGAUACACUUUCAAAGAGUCGGAUUGUUUGGGAAUGCAGUCCAAAAUGGGUGGUAAAUUUCAUCUAAAGCUAAAUAUUGGCGAGAGACCGAUAGCGAACAAGUACCGUGAGGGAAAGAUGAAAAGAACUUUGAAAAGAGAGCUAAACAGUACGUGAAAUUGUCAAAAGGGAAGCGUUUGACACCAGUGUUGUUUUUCUGAAAAUCAAUUAAAGAACUGUUUAUGCUAAGCUGUUUAGACUUUAUCAGCUAUCUGUUUAGUUUUGAGCUUUUCUUUAAUGCACUUUUCAGUUAACAAGUCAACAUCAAUUUCUUUUGCUGUAAAAAAGCUUGAGGAAGGUGGCUUGAGAUUCGUCUUAAGUGUUUAUAACCUCUUGCCUAUGCAGUCGGAGAGAUUGAGGUCUGCAGCGUAGAUCCUUCGGGGCUAAAUGCAUUUGUGCUAAGUUAUAGCAUUUUAUAGACAACUUGUUGACUAUGAUUUGUCUUGUAGCUUACUCGCUUAUGUUAUUUUACCUACGCUUAGGAUGUUGAGUAGCGACAUACGCAC
RNAcentral lists this ribosomal RNA (774 nucleotides) under uncultured Neocallimastigales. RNAcentral describes it as "partial large subunit ribosomal RNA". It matches the Rfam family "Eukaryotic large subunit ribosomal RNA", at positions 20 to 649 of the family's 3401-position model. The record is from RNAcentral. Lineage: Eukaryota; Fungi; Neocallimastigomycota; Neocallimastigomycetes; Neocallimastigales.